GUUCCAAAGAAACACUUCAUAAUUACUAUGCUAAAAGAUACUUUUACCAAUGUAAUAUAAUUUUACUGGUCAUCUUGAAGUUAUCAGUGCACUAGAUAAACCCCGAGAGACAUAUUUUCAAAUAAUGGUUAAGUAUCAAAAUAUUAUUAACAG
This is a non-coding RNA of Callorhinus ursinus (northern fur seal), 153 nucleotides long. The record is from RefSeq and is a predicted model, not a curated record. Lineage: Eukaryota; Metazoa; Chordata; Mammalia; Carnivora; Otariidae.